AUGAAGAAGUGGGUUUUUAAUGAUUUUUUGAAGGAGUGGAGACUGGUUGAGCAUCUAACAGAGGAGGGAAGCGAGUUCCAUAGUAAUGGUGCGGCCCUCGAGAAAUCUUGAAGGCGAGCAUCAGAGGUCUUCAGCAGAUCGUAAGGGCCUAGACGGGACAUACUUGUGUAUAAGGGGGGAAAGAUAGGUGGGAGCAGCAUUAUGUAGAGAUUUGAAAGCAAG
Non-coding RNA from Pelobates cultripes (western spadefoot toad), 222 nucleotides. The record is from the annotation of a GenBank genome assembly. Lineage: Eukaryota; Metazoa; Chordata; Amphibia; Anura; Pelobatidae.